RNAcentral lists this ribosomal RNA (186 nucleotides) under Bifidobacterium dentium. Its description in RNAcentral is "partial 16S ribosomal RNA". It matches the Rfam family "Bacterial small subunit ribosomal RNA", at positions 1 to 183 of the family's 1533-position model. The record is from RNAcentral. Lineage: Bacteria; Bacillati; Actinomycetota; Actinomycetes; Bifidobacteriales; Bifidobacteriaceae.
UUUAUGGAGGGUUCGAUUCUGGCUCAGGAUGAACGCUGGCGGCGUGCUUAACACAUGCAAGUCGAACGGGAUCCCGGGGGUUCGCUUCCGGGUGAGAGUGGCGAACGGGUGAGUAAUGCGUGACCGACCUGCCCCAUACACCGGAAUAGCUCCUGGAAACGGGUGGUAAUGCCGGAUGCUCCGGUU